This 414-nucleotide long non-coding RNA is filed under the name Parus major (Great Tit). RNAcentral describes it as "lncRNA (ENSPMJG00000011348.1)". The record is from RNAcentral. Lineage: Eukaryota; Metazoa; Chordata; Aves; Passeriformes; Paridae.
GGAGCAAGGACUUCCCCCUUAGAUUAUGGGAAGAUGGUUAUUUUAUCACAGAACUAGUAGAAACAAUUUGAAGUGUUAUAUUCCUGUUAUUAUGGCAUAAAACUUGAAAAAAAUAUUCUCCUUAGACAGAAAUAAUAUUUCUGUAUCCGUAAAAUAUUUGGACUUUUUACUGUAGCAUGUAAAAAUCUUGAAUAAGCAAUAAACUUCCAUACUUUCUUUUCAGGUGGUUUUCCUCAGUGGGCUCAUGGCAUCACCCAAACCCACCAAGCUCAGCAUGGACUAGUUGUUUUGAAGACAGAUUUCUUCAUGCAAAAAGUCAUCACUUAUAUUAGAGUGGUGAAGUAACACAACAAUUGAGGGUAGCUGCAUAAUGAACACAGAAAGAGCUUCUGAAUAAAGUGUCCUGUUGCAUCA